AGCAGUAGCCGCGGGAACACGUAGGUGGCAAGCGUUGUCCGGAAUUAUUGGGCGUAAAGGGCUCGCAGGCGGUUUCUUAAGUCUGAUGUGAAAGCCCCCGGCUCAACCGGGGAGGGUCAUUGGAAACUGGGAAACUUGAGUGCAGAAGAGGAGAGUGGAAUUCCACGUGUAGCGGUGAAAUGCGUAGAGAUGUGGAGGAACACCAGUGGCGAAGGCGACUCUCUGGUCUGUAACUGACGCUGAGGAGCGAAAGCGUGGGUAGCGAACAGGAUUAGAUACCCGUGUAGUCCCUGUCUCUUAUAC
RNAcentral lists this ribosomal RNA (303 nucleotides) under uncultured bacterium. RNAcentral's name for it is "partial 16S ribosomal RNA". It matches the Rfam family "Bacterial small subunit ribosomal RNA", at positions 507 to 807 of the family's 1533-position model. The record is from RNAcentral.